This 753-nucleotide ribosomal RNA is filed under the name Conocybe intrusa. RNAcentral describes it as "eukaryotic LSU rRNA". It matches the Rfam family "Eukaryotic large subunit ribosomal RNA", at positions 78 to 817 of the family's 3401-position model. Lineage: Eukaryota; Fungi; Basidiomycota; Agaricomycetes; Agaricales; Bolbitiaceae. The record is from RNAcentral.
CCCUAGUAACUGCGAGUGAAGCGGGAAAAGCUCAAAUUUAAAAUCUGGCAGUCUCUGAUUGUCCGAGUUGUAAUCUAGAGAAGUGCUAUCCGCGUUGGACCAUGUAUAAGUCUUCUGGAAUGGAGCAUCAUAGAGGGUGAGAAUCCCGUCUUUGACAUGGACUACCAGUGCUUUGUGAUACGCUCUCAAAGAGUCGAGUUGUUUGGGAAUGCAGCUCAAAAUGGGUGGUAAAUUCCAUCUAAAGCUAAAUAUUGGCGAGAGACCGAUAGCGAACAAGUACCGUGAGGGAAAGAUGAAAAGAACUUUGGAAAGAGAGUUAAACAGUACGUGAAAUUGCUGAAAGGGAAACGCUUGAAGUCAGUCACGUUGGCUAGAAAUCAACCUUGCUUUUGCUGGGCGUACUUUCUAGUUAAUGGGUCAGCAUCAAUUUUGACCAUUGGAAAAAGUGUAGAGGAAUGUGGCAUCCUUGGAUGUGUUAUAGCCUUUACUCGCAUACAGUGGUUGGGAUUGAGGAAUUCAGCAUGCCGCAAGGCCGGGUCUUUGACCACGUUCAUGCUUAGGAUGCUGGCAUAAUGGCUUUAAUCGACCCGUCUUGAAACACGGACCAAGGAGUCUAACAUACCUGCAAGUGUUUGGGUGGAAAACCCAAGCGCGCAAUGAAAGUGAAAGUUGAGAUCCUUGUCAUGGGGAGCAUCGACGCCCGGACCAGACCUUUUGUGACGGAUCUGCGGUAGAGCAUGUAUGUUGGGACCC